UACGAAGGAUGCAAGCGUUAUCCGGAUUCACUGGGUUUAAAGGGUGUGCAGGUGGGACAGUAAGUCAGUGGUGAAAGCCGUCCGCUCAACGGACGAACUGCCAUAGAUACUGCUGUUCUUGAGUGUAGUUGAGGCGGGCGGAAUAUGACAUGUAGCGGUGAAAUGCUUAGAUAUGUCAUAGAACACCGAUCGCGAAGGCAGCUCGCAAAACUAUUACUGACACUGAAACACGAAAGUGCGGGGAUCAAACAGG
This 253-nucleotide ribosomal RNA is filed under the name uncultured bacterium. RNAcentral's name for it is "partial 16S ribosomal RNA". It matches the Rfam family "Bacterial small subunit ribosomal RNA", at positions 524 to 776 of the family's 1533-position model. The record is from RNAcentral.